GCUGUAGUAGUGUAGUGGCAACAUCUGACUACGCCAAAGUCAGGACCAGGGGUUCGAAUCCCCUCUACAGCU
This 72-nucleotide transfer RNA is filed under the name Ktedonobacteraceae bacterium. RNAcentral describes it as "tRNA-Gly". It matches the Rfam family "tRNA". Rfam says of the family: Transfer RNA (tRNA) molecules are approximately 80 nucleotides in length. Their secondary structure includes four short double-helical elements and three loops (D, anti-codon, and T loops). The record is from RNAcentral. Lineage: Bacteria; Bacillati; Chloroflexota; Ktedonobacteria; Ktedonobacterales; Ktedonobacteraceae.